This 284-nucleotide long non-coding RNA is filed under the name Anas platyrhynchos platyrhynchos (common mallard). Its description in RNAcentral is "lncRNA (ENSAPLG00000030245.1)". Lineage: Eukaryota; Metazoa; Chordata; Aves; Anseriformes; Anatidae. The record is from RNAcentral.
AUGGGAUCUGCCGUUCAUGCCAAAGCCUCAUCCAGAAGGGAGAGGCAGCUUCCUCAGUUAGACAGAUCCACACAUGGAAAUCAACUUUCUGCAGGCAUCAGGAUAAAUGAAGUUACGGUCUCGUUCAGAAUGAAUUUAUGCUGUUUUGUGAAGUAGCUUGAUUUUCCUGAUACACUGCUAAUGACCAUGCUUGAUAACUGAGAGCAGAUCAGGUAGGUUUCCUGCUCUUCUCUCCUUGCAAAUGUUUGUUCUGUCAAUACAGCCUCUGUAUUACUGAAUUUUUG